This 301-nucleotide ribosomal RNA is filed under the name uncultured bacterium. RNAcentral's name for it is "partial 16S ribosomal RNA". It matches the Rfam family "Bacterial small subunit ribosomal RNA", at positions 509 to 807 of the family's 1533-position model. The record is from RNAcentral.
CAGCAGCCGCGGUAACACAGAGGGUGCAAGCGUUAAUCGGAAUUACUGGGCGUAAAGCGCGCGUAGGUGGUUUGUUAAGUUGGAUGUGAAAUCCCCGGGCUCAACCUGGGAACUGCAUCCAAAACUGGCAAGCUAGAGUAUGGUAGAGGGUGGUGGAAUUUCCUGUGUAGCGGUGAAAUGCGUAGAUAUAGGAAGGAACACCAGUGGCGAAGGCGACCACCUGGACUGAUACUGACACUGAGGUGCGAAAGCGUGGGGAGCAAACAGGAUUAGAGACCCCUGUAGUCCCUGUCUCUUAUAC